This 498-nucleotide ribosomal RNA is filed under the name uncultured bacterium. RNAcentral describes it as "partial 16S ribosomal RNA". It matches the Rfam family "Bacterial small subunit ribosomal RNA", at positions 29 to 523 of the family's 1533-position model. The record is from RNAcentral.
AUUGAACGCUGGCGGCAUGCCUUACACAUGCAAGUCGAACGGUAACGCGGGGCAACCUGGCGACGAGUGGCGAACGGGUGAGUAAUGCAUCGGAACGUGCCCAGUAGUGGGGGAUAGCCCGGCGAAAGCCGGAUUAAUACCGCAUACGACCUACGGGUGAAAGGGGGGGAUCGCAAGACCUCUCGCUAUUGGAGCGGCCGAUGUCAGAUUAGCUAGUUGGUGGGGUAAAAGCCUACCAAGGCGACGAUCUGUAGCUGGUCUGAGAGGACGACCAGCCACACUGGGACUUGGACACGGCCCAGACUCCUACGGGAGGCAGCAGUGGGGAAUUUUGGACAAUGGGCGAAAGCCUGAUCCAGCCAUGCCGCGUGCGGGAAGAAGGCCUUCGGGUUGUAAACCGCUUUUGUCAGGGAAGAAAUCUUCUGAGUUAAUACCUCGGGAGGAUGACGGUACCUGAAGAAUAAGCACCGGCUAACUACGUGCCAGCCGCCGCCGUAA